Culex quinquefasciatus (southern house mosquito) is the source of this 922-nucleotide long non-coding RNA. RefSeq lists it as uncharacterized. The record is from RefSeq and is a predicted model, not a curated record. The transcript has 5 exons. Lineage: Eukaryota; Metazoa; Arthropoda; Insecta; Diptera; Culicidae.
UGUAUCAAAACAAAUUAAAAGUGAUUAUGGACAAACGUGGUUAUGUUAUGAUAUUCAAUUAUGAGGAUUUUAUGCGAAAUAAGGUACAACAUACCCAACAUUGCGGCUCAGUACACCAGCAUAAACGCGCAGCAUAACUUGACGAAGCUGUAACAGUCAUGCUCGCAGCUGGGUCCUGCAGUCCGCCUCCACAUUUGAGCACUGACUCGCCAUCCCGUCGAAUGUUCAACGAGCAGCCUCGAAAAUCGGCAACCUGUGCCUUUCAACAAACAUCUUUAACAUUUGUCCCGGGACUUCCACUAUCAUCUUUGCCACUCAUGGGCUAAUUAUGGGUCCUGCAACUCGCAGUACUGACCCUGGAGCAAACGGACACAGACAACUAGACUGGUUUGGAGUGACAAUGUACAACCUUGGACAUCAUAGACCUCUAGAUGAACUCUUAGCAGAGGGAUAAUUUGGCCGAACAUUCGCACCUCCCUAUUACUCCUACACACAACAACACUCACCAACAGCAAAUAUCACAGAUGUUUAUCACAGAUCAACAUGAUCACAGAUGUCUUGCCACAGAUGUCGGGUUGCAGUCAACUCAUCGAUCAUCGUGAAUGCAGUUCCUCGAAAAUCAACUUCUGCACUUGAAGCAAAUAGAAAAAGAAAAGAACCAAUAUGAUUCGCUUUCGUGUUAAUUUACUAUUCUAGUUUAAGGCAAUCGCCUGUUAAUUUGAAAAUUUCUAGUUAUGGUUGCGCUUGGCGAAAGCGUAAUUAAAAUAUUCUAGCUGAAGUAAUCUCAAAAGAGACAAAAAUAAUUGGAAAAUCCUACAAUUCGUUCAUGCUGCUAAUGUUGUUAAUCACAGUUUAUCACAGUUAGUUUCAUUUUAUAUUAGGUUAAGUUCCAAAUAAAUAAUUUUGUUUGUCCGGUGUUUUA